UUUAGACGAGAGUUUGAUCCUGGCUCAGGAUGAACGCUGGCGGCGUGCCUAACACAUGCAAGUCGAGCGAAGC
Molecule: ribosomal RNA, 73 nt
Filed under: Dorea sp.
Lineage: Bacteria; Bacillati; Bacillota; Clostridia; Lachnospirales; Lachnospiraceae
Description: partial 16S ribosomal RNA
Rfam family: Bacterial small subunit ribosomal RNA
Source: RNAcentral